Molecule: non-coding RNA, 113 nt
Organism: Acanthosepion pharaonis
Lineage: Eukaryota; Metazoa; Mollusca; Cephalopoda; Sepiida; Sepiidae
Source: the annotation of a GenBank genome assembly
UUGCAGCCACAUCAUGUUUUAACACUAGUUCCCGUACAAUCACCGAGGUUAAGCAACACCAAGCCUGGUCAGUACUUUGAUGGGUAACUGCUUGGGAAUACCAGGUGAUGUAA